This is a small nuclear RNA of Frankliniella occidentalis (western flower thrips), 119 nucleotides long. RefSeq annotates it as U4atac minor spliceosomal RNA. The record is from RefSeq and is a predicted model, not a curated record. The transcript has a single exon. Lineage: Eukaryota; Metazoa; Arthropoda; Insecta; Thysanoptera; Thripidae.
CGCGUCCUUUGUCAGGGGGAGCAUUAUGUCCAAUGAUUGUCUAGAGAGGACAUAGGUGCUGACACCCAUUGAUUUAUUUAUCGCAUCGGGCUUCAUGUCUCGGUGCAAUUUUUGGAAGC